Molecule: non-coding RNA, 621 nt
Filed under: Macleaya cordata
Lineage: Eukaryota; Viridiplantae; Streptophyta; Magnoliopsida; Ranunculales; Papaveraceae
Description: Eukaryotic large subunit ribosomal RNA
Rfam family: Eukaryotic large subunit ribosomal RNA
Source: Rfam by way of RNAcentral
CCUGCUGAGUUUAAGCAUAUCAAUAAGUGGAGGAGAAGAAACUUACAAGGAUUCCCCUAGUAACGGCGAGUGAACCGGGAUCAGCCCAGCUUGAGAAUCAGACGGCCCCGCCGUUCGAAUUGUAGUCCGUAGAAGCGUCCUCAGCGGCGGACCGGGCCCAAAUCCCCUGGAAGGGGGCGCCAGAGAGGAUGAGAGCCCCGUCGUGCCCGGACCCUGCCGCACCACGAGAAGCUGUCGGCGAGUCGGGUUGUUUGGGAAUGUAGCCCAAAGUGGGCGGUAAAUUCCGUCCAAGGCUAAAUACCGGCGAGAGACCGAUAGUGAACAAAUACCGUGAGGGAAAGAUGAAAAGGACUUUAACGAGGGUUUGUACAUAUUAACCUUAAUUGAUUUGAACAGGGUUGAAUAGAUUGGCUAUGUUAUGGAGGGAUAUUGCAACAUACCUUAAUGCAAUACUAUUGCAACAUACUUUUUAUGGGGCCCAUAUGAAGAUGGCUCGAGGGUUAUUUUGUUGUAGGGAUGUUCUCCUCAUCAUGUAGAUCAAUAUAUUCGAAAAUCAACCCCUUCUAAAAGUUCUAACACCUUCAAAUUAGCCUAUAAAAAAUUGACAAAUUUUAGACAUUU